UGAGAGCCCUCUGGUUGUAUCUUUAUCACUGCUACCCCUGACUCUUCCAGGAAGCGUCCACAGCUGUAUCCACCCCAGAGGCCCCAGAGCCUCCAUCUCAGGAGCAGUGGGCCAUCCCUGUGGACGCCACCUCCCCUGUUGGUGAUUUCUAUCGCCUCAUUCCCCAGCCAGCCUUCCAGUGGGCAUUUGAGCCAGAUGUGUUUCAGAAACAGGCCAUCCUGCACUUGGAACGGCAUGACUCUGUCUUUGUCGCAGCUCACACAUCUGCAGGAAAAACAGUUGUGGCUGAAUAUGCCAUUGCUCUGGCCCAGAAACACAUGACACGCACCAUCUACACUUCGCCCAUCAAGGCCCUGAGCAACCAGAAGUUCCGGGACUUCCGAAACACAUUCGGGGAUGUGGGGCUGCUCACCGGGGAUGUACAGCUGCAUCCGGAGGCCUCCUGCCUCAUCAUGACCACAGAGAUCCUUCGCUCCAUGCUGUACAGUGGCUCAGAUGUUAUUCGGGACCUGGAGUGGGUCAUCUUUGAUGAGGUUCACUAUAUCAACGAUGUCGAGCGUGGGGUCGUGUGGGAGGAGGUGCU
RNAcentral lists this unclassified non-coding RNA (583 nucleotides) under Homo sapiens (human). RNAcentral's name for it is "SKI2 subunit of superkiller complex (ENSG00000223493.9)". Lineage: Eukaryota; Metazoa; Chordata; Mammalia; Primates; Hominidae. The record is from RNAcentral.